RNAcentral lists this ribosomal RNA (180 nucleotides) under uncultured Nitrosospira sp. RNAcentral's name for it is "partial 16S ribosomal RNA". It matches the Rfam family "Bacterial small subunit ribosomal RNA", at positions 337 to 510 of the family's 1533-position model. Lineage: Bacteria; Pseudomonadati; Pseudomonadota; Betaproteobacteria; Nitrosomonadales; Nitrosomonadaceae. The record is from RNAcentral.
GCCUACGGGAGGCAGCAGUGGGGAAUUUUGGACAAUGGGGGAAACCCUGAUCCAGCCAUUCCGCGUGAGUGAAGAAGGCCUGGUUGUAAGCUCUUUCUAGGAGGGAAGGAAACGGUUAGCAGCUAAUACCUGCGACUAAUGACGGUACCUUCAGAAGAAGCACCGGCUAACUACGUGCCA